GAUGAAGAACGUAGCGAAAUGCGAUACGUAGUGCGAAUUGCAGAAUUCAGUGAAUCAUCGAAUCUUUGAACGCACAUUGCACCUCUCGGUAUUCCGGGAGGUAUGCCUGUUCGAGCGUCAUUUGUACCCUCAAGCUCUGCUUGGUGUUGGGUGUUUGUUCCGCCUCUGUGUGUGAACUCGCCUCAAAACAAUUGGCAGCCGGCGUACUUGUUUCGGAGCGCAGCACAUUUUGCGAUCCAGAUCAACGUACAGCGGCAUCCAAGAAGCCUUAUUUAACGCUCUUGACCUCGGAUCAGGUAGGGAUACCCGCUGAACUUAAGCAUAUCAAUAAGCGGAGGA
Molecule: unclassified non-coding RNA, 339 nt
Filed under: soil metagenome
Description: partial contains 5.8S ribosomal RNA, internal transcribed spacer 2, and large subunit ribosomal RNA
Rfam family: 5.8S ribosomal RNA (bases 1-120)
Source: RNAcentral